This 63-nucleotide transfer RNA is filed under the name Ziczacella heptapotamica. RNAcentral's name for it is "tRNA-Thr". The record is from RNAcentral. Lineage: Eukaryota; Metazoa; Arthropoda; Insecta; Hemiptera; Cicadellidae.
GUUUUAAUAAUUUAAAUAAAAUAUUGAUUUUGUAAAUCAACAUUGGUAAAUAACCUUAAAACA